RNAcentral lists this ribosomal RNA (253 nucleotides) under uncultured bacterium. RNAcentral's name for it is "partial 16S ribosomal RNA". It matches the Rfam family "Bacterial small subunit ribosomal RNA", at positions 524 to 776 of the family's 1533-position model. The record is from RNAcentral.
GACAGAGGGGGCAAGCGUUGCUCGGAAUUACUGGGCGUAAAGGGCGCGUAGGCGGGAUGGCAAGUCGGUCGUGAAAUCCCUCGGCUCAACCGAGGAACGUCGAUCGAUACUGCUGUUCUUGAGGAUUGCAGAGGAGACUGGAAUUCCCGGUGUAGCGGUGAAAUGUGUAGAGAUCGGGAGGAACACCGGUGGCGAAGGCGGGUCUCUGGGCCGAUACUGACGCUGAUGCGCGAAAGCUAGGGGAGCGAACAGG